Molecule: ribosomal RNA, 911 nt
Filed under: Lodderomyces elongisporus
Lineage: Eukaryota; Fungi; Ascomycota; Pichiomycetes; Serinales; Debaryomycetaceae
Description: LSU rRNA
Rfam family: Eukaryotic large subunit ribosomal RNA
Source: RNAcentral
UAGCAUAUCAAUAAGCGGAGGAAAAGAAACCAACAGGGAUUGCCUUAGUAGCGGCGAGUGAAGCGGCAAUAGCUCAAAUUUGAAAUCUGGCACUUUCAGUGUCCGAGUUGUAAUUUGAAGAAGGUAUCUUUGGGUCUAGCUCUUGUCUAUGUUUCUUGGAACAGAACGUCACAGAGGGUGAGAAUCCCGUGCGAUGAGAUGUCUAGAUCUAUGUAAAGUUCCUUCGAAGAGUCGAGUUGUUUGGGAAUGCAGCUCUAAGUGGGUGGUAAAUUCCAUCUAAAGCUAAAUAUUGGCGAGAGACCGAUAGCGAACAAGUACAGUGAUGGAAAGAUGAAAAGAACUUUGAAAAGAGAGUGAAAAAGUACGUGAAAUUGUUGAAAGGGAAGGGCUUGAGAUCAGACUUGGUAUUUUGUAUGUUACUCUCUCGGGGGUGGCCUCUACAGUUUACCGGGCCAGCAUCAGUUUGAGCGGUAGGAGAAUUGCGUAGGAAUGUGGCUCGGCCUCGGUCGAGUGUUAUAGCCUUCGUCGAUACUGCCAGCUUAGACUGAGGACUGCGGCUUCGGCCUAGGAUGUUGGCAUAAUGAUCUUAAGUCGCCCGUCUUGAAACACGGACCAAGGAGUCUAACGUCUAUGCGAGUGUUUGGGUGUAAAACCCGUACGCGUAAUGAAAGUGAACGUAGGUAGGACCUUCUUUUGAAGCGCACUAUCGACCGAUCCUGAUGUCUUCGGAUGGAUUUGAGUAAGAGCAUAGCUGUUGGGACCCGAAAGAUGGUGAACUAUGCCUGAAUAGGGUGAAGCCAGAGGAAACUCUGGUGGAGGCUCGUAGCGGUUCUGACGUGCAAAUCGAUCGUCGAAUUUGGGUAUAGGGGCGAAAGACUAAUCGAACCAUCUAGUAGCUGGUUCCUGCCGAU